GAUGAACGCUAGCGGCAGGCUUAACACAUGCAAGUCGAGGGGCAGCACGGGUAGCAAUACCUGGUGGCGACCGGCGCAAGGGUGCGUAACGCGUGAGCAACAUGCCCUAUACAGGGGGAUAAUCCAGGGAAACUUGGUCUAAUAUCCCAUAGUAUUUAGAGGAGGCAUCUUCUAUAAAUUAAAGCUUCGGUGGUAUAGGAUUGGCUCGCGUGACAUUAGCUAGAUGGUGAGGUAACGGCUCACCAUGGCAAUGAUGUCUAGGGGUUCUGAGAGGAAGGCCCCCCACACUGGGACUGAGACACGGCCCAGACUCCUACGGGAGGCAGCAGUGAGGAAUAUUGGACAAUGGAUGGAAAUCUGAUCCAGCCAUGCCGCGUGCGGAAGACAGCCUACUGGUUGGUAACUAGCUUUAUUAUAGGUAGGCAAUAAGGUACGUACGUACGUAGUACUGAUGAGAGGUACACUAUAGAAGUAAGACGAUAC
Molecule: ribosomal RNA, 483 nt
Filed under: uncultured bacterium
Lineage: Bacteria
Description: bacterial SSU rRNA
Rfam family: Bacterial small subunit ribosomal RNA
Source: RNAcentral